AGUAAGCAAGCCCUUUGUUAACCACUCCACACUCUACAUCAAGCCAAAAGCUCAAAGCCAAAGGAAAUGCGAAUGGAGUUGUAUGGCUUGUGGUAUAUUUAUAGGCAAAAGGAUACAUAUAUAACGGUGACCACUUCUCAAUUCUAAGUUAUAUAGUGAACAUCUUUAUAUUUUUCACAUCAGAUGUAAUUAAUUAGUUUUAUAUUAGAUUGUGGUCAUCUAAGUUAUAUAAUGAACAUCUUCUUUAUAUUUUUCACAUCAGAUGUAAUUAGUUUUAUAUUAGAUUGUGGUCAAUGAUUAUUAAUUUCUGGUAGGACACUUCAGCAACUUGUGCACUUGCCUUCAAAUUACAUUCAAGCAUAUUAAAAUCUGAAUUUGGAGUCAUCAAAGAUUUUGCUGCUUGGAGUCCACUCUGCUUUGCAUCAUGACUAUAUUUGCAAGUAUUGCUAAAGUAAUUUCAAGCGAGGGUUCCAUAUUUGCUGGAAACUGACAAGGCUACAGUGGAAAUGGAGUGCAUGGAAGAAGAAUAUCUUGCCAAGAUAAUACAUGGAGAUGGGUCCAAAGAGAUAAAAGUUGGUGAGAAAAAAUAUUAGAAUGUCCACCCGAAUCUCAAAACACAACUAAUAUUGUUGAUGAUACAAUUAGCAUUGUGUUUGGCAAAGAAGUAG
Long non-coding RNA from Zingiber officinale, 668 nucleotides. RefSeq lists it as uncharacterized. The record is from RefSeq and is a predicted model, not a curated record. The transcript has 3 exons. NCBI's taxonomy places the organism in Eukaryota, Viridiplantae, Streptophyta, Magnoliopsida, Zingiberales, Zingiberaceae.